GCGGACGUGGCGAAACUGGUAGACGCAAGGGACUUAAAAUCCCUCGGUUAACACCGUACGGGUUCGAUUCCCGUCGUCCGCACCA
This 85-nucleotide transfer RNA is filed under the name Sinorhizobium psoraleae. RNAcentral describes it as "tRNA-Leu". It matches the Rfam family "tRNA". From Rfam's summary of the family: Transfer RNA (tRNA) molecules are approximately 80 nucleotides in length. Their secondary structure includes four short double-helical elements and three loops (D, anti-codon, and T loops). Further hydrogen bonds mediate the characteristic L-shaped molecular structure. tRNAs have two regions of fundamental functional importance: the anti-codon, which is responsible for specific mRNA codon recognition, and the 3' end, to which the tRNAs corresponding amino acid is attached (by aminoacyl-tRNA synthetases). tRNAs cope with the degeneracy of the genetic code in two manners: having more than one tRNA (with a specific anti-codon) for a particular amino acid; and 'wobble' base-pairing, i.e. permitting non-standard base-pairing at the 3rd anti-codon position. RNAcentral also lists the same sequence under 1 other name. Lineage: Bacteria; Pseudomonadati; Pseudomonadota; Alphaproteobacteria; Hyphomicrobiales; Rhizobiaceae. The record is from RNAcentral.